CACUGGUCGAGUGAUCCUGCGCCGAAGAUUUCCGGGGCUAAAACUUACUACCGAAGCUACGGCAUCAGUAAUGAUGGGUAGGGGAGCUUCCCAUACGGGUUGAAGCAUGACCGUAAGGACAUGUGGACAGUAUGGGAGUGAGAAUGUUGGCAUGAGUAGCGAGAUGUGGGUGAGAAUCCCACAGGCCGUAAACCCAAGGUUUCCAGGGGAAGGUUCGUCCGCCCUGGGUUAGUCGGGACCUAAGCUGAGGCCGAAAGGCGUAGGUGAUGGACAACAGGUUGAUAUUCCUGUACUACCGAUAACCGUUUGAGAGAGGGGAUGACACAGUAGGAUAAGCUAAGCACACUGUUGGUUAUGUGUGCCCAAGCAUUGAGGCAGUCAAAGUAGGCAAAUCCGCUUUUAUAAUGCUGGGAUGUGAUGGGGAGCGAAAUUUAGUAGCGAA
This 442-nucleotide ribosomal RNA is filed under the name Clostridioides difficile. RNAcentral's name for it is "partial 23S ribosomal RNA". It matches the Rfam family "Bacterial large subunit ribosomal RNA", at positions 1143 to 1589 of the family's 2925-position model. Lineage: Bacteria; Bacillati; Bacillota; Clostridia; Peptostreptococcales; Peptostreptococcaceae. The record is from RNAcentral.